GCUCCCUUAGCUCAGCUGGUUAGAGCGUGGUGCUAAUAACGCCAAGGUCUUGGGUUCGAUCCCCAAAGGGAGCA
Non-coding RNA from Anncaliia algerae PRA109, 74 nucleotides. The record is from Rfam. NCBI's taxonomy places the organism in Eukaryota, Fungi, Microsporidia, Tubulinosematidae.